This 295-nucleotide long non-coding RNA is filed under the name Anas platyrhynchos platyrhynchos (common mallard). RNAcentral's name for it is "lncRNA (ENSAPLG00000024469.1)". Lineage: Eukaryota; Metazoa; Chordata; Aves; Anseriformes; Anatidae. The record is from RNAcentral.
GGAACUGAGAGCCUUGAAACUUUUUCACCAUCACAGGCUUCCAAUCUUUUUGUAAAUAAGGUGUACCUGAGAGAACAGAGACACUGUUCUUAUAGUUGUUGUUGUCCAAGGACAGUGUGUGGUCUGUAGGCCACAGAUUUAUGAAGUAAUUCUUUUGGCUUAUGGGACAAUAGUCAUAUGGCAAGCUGAUAGGGCAGUGAGAGGCAGUGAAAGCUUGUGGCUUCUGUUUCUGUCCGUUCGCCUACUCUGCAGAAUCAGAGUGACUCCAGUGCUUGAAAUCUCACAUUUGGCUUGA